GACCGCGUAGCUCAGUUGGAAGAGCAUUGGGCUAGUAUUCCAAAGGUCGUUCGUUCGAAUCCCACCUUGGCCG
Paramuricea clavata is the source of this 73-nucleotide non-coding RNA. The record is from the annotation of a GenBank genome assembly. NCBI's taxonomy places the organism in Eukaryota, Metazoa, Cnidaria, Anthozoa, Malacalcyonacea, Plexauridae.